RNAcentral lists this unclassified non-coding RNA (1342 nucleotides) under Monomorium pharaonis (pharaoh ant). RNAcentral's name for it is "raf homolog serine/threonine-protein kinase Raf, transcript variant X3". The record is from RNAcentral. Lineage: Eukaryota; Metazoa; Arthropoda; Insecta; Hymenoptera; Formicidae.
GCUUUACUCAUGGUGACGCAGUGUACAUUGUAACAGCGUAUGUACGUUGUAGUUCAGAAAAUUCUUUGAAAUUAUAAAUGUAAAUCAUGCGAUCACUGUUUAAUGAACUUUGUUCCUAUUUAUUUUUCAAUUUUUCAACAUUAAAUAGAACAAUGUGAAAUGGAGGAUCAUCGAUUUUGGAAUGAAAAUGUGUUCUAAUGUUUGUGCAUAGAACAAAGUUUGGAAAGUGCGAAAGAUUAUUCAAAGUCGCAAAAAGAGCAUAAUGCAUAAAAUUGUUUUUAGAAGUCCAAAAUGGUUCAGAGUCUGCUCCUAAAAUGAAUUGUUUAACAUCAGCAUGUAAAUUUCCUCUGGAAUGAUUUGCAUAAAUCAACAAUAUAAGCAGAACUUUAGAUUUGGAAAGAAAAUGAUAGCAUCUGUGUCUACUAAAAAAUUGAGGUUGCUGCAGAAGGUUGGGGUGACUAUCAUUCAAAUGGCAAGACUAGUCAAACACUGAUGCUUGUUUUUGACAUCCUCCAAGAUGAUUUUUAGUAAGCUAAGCGAAAAUUAGCUAAAGUUCUGCAACUGUUAAUCAUGUGAAGAGAAGAGAGAUGAUUUGAAAUACUUUCAAAAUUUCUACCUUUUGAUUGCGUGAACUAAUUUAUUUUUCGAAAUAUUUUCAACAUUAUGCAACAUGUUAAAUCAACUAUUUUCGAACAGUGAAAACAGUUCACAAAGAAGACAAUUCUUUUAAAAUUUUAGCAAAUAUGUUAUGGGUUAUUUGCGACAUUAAGUUAUUAAUUACAUUAAGUACACGAUUGUCACCUUUCAAUUGGUAUUCUGAAAAUCCAUGAUCUGUCUGAGAUGUUUUCUAUUUAAAAAAAAAAAAAAAAAAAACGAUUAAGUUUAGUAAAAUUGAUAUUUUCUUGUAGUGCUUUCUCUAAAAAAUAAAGACUAUUAAAUCUGAACUUCUCAUUGGAAAUUCUUUCAGAAAAUCGAAAUCUGUAACUAAAAAAGGAAAUGGCUACAUUAUUUUCUUAAUAAUUUCUAAUGAACUUAAAAAUUGUAUUAGUAACUAGAAGAUUUCUUUCUCCGAUUUCUUCCUUAAAGAAUCAGGUUUAUUAAAAAAGCAGAGUCUUUAAUCGAAAAUCAAAGGUGGCAAUCGUAGUCGAGCCACUUUUAUAUUGAAGUCAAUUGUAUUUAGAAAAAGUUAAGAUUUUUUAAUGAUUUAUAAUAGGUCAAUAAAUAAUAUAGAUUAGAAAUACAAAGUUACUGGAUUAUAUAAAGAAUGAAUGUAAAAAUGAAAAUUGUUAUGAACAAAAUCAAUUAUAUAUAGUAAGAAAAAUCAAAUAGAAAUUGUAAAAAA